GAACGUACGCUGGCGGCACGCCUAACACAUGCAAGUCGAACGAAGUAGCAAUACUUAGUGGCAGACGGGUGAGUAACAUGUAGGUAUCUGCCCUUUGGCCUGGAAUAACACGAGGAAACUUGUGCUAAUACCGGAUAAGUCUUUACGGAGAAAGCUUUAUGCACCAUUGGAUGAGCCCGCACUUGAUUAGUUUGUUGGUAGGGUAAUGGCCUACCAAGACUAUGAUCAAUAGCUGAUUUGAGAGGAUGAUCAGCCACAUUGGGACUGAGACACGGCCCAAACUCCUACGGGAGGCAGCAGUGGGGAAUCUUGCACAAUGGAGGAAACUCUGAUGCAGCGAUGCCGCGUGAGUGAAGAAGGCCUUUGGGUUGUAAAGCUCUUUCGUCGGGGAAGAAAAUGACUGUACCCGAAUAAGAAGGUCCGGCUAACUUCGUGCCAGCAGCCGCGGUAAUACGAAGGGACCUAGCGUAGUUCGGAAUUACUGGGCUUAAAGAGUUCGUAGGUGGUUGAAAAAGUUGGUGGUGAAAUCCCAGAGCUUAACUCUGGAACUGCCAUCAAAACUUUUCAGCUAGAGUAUGAUAGAGGAAAGCAGAAUUUCUAGUGUAGAGGUGAAAUUCGUAGAUAUUAGAAAGAAUACCAAUUGCGAAGGCAGCUUUCUGGAUCAUUACUGACACUGAGGAACGAAAGCAUGGGUAGCGAAGAGGAUUAGAUACCCUCGUAGUCCAUGCCGUAAACGAUGUGUGUUAGACGUUGGAAAUUUAUUUUCAGUGUCGCAGGGAAACCGAUAAACACACCGCCUGGGGAGUACGACCGCAAGGUUAAAACUCAAAUGAAUUGACGGGGACCCGCACAAGUAGUGGAGCAUGUGGUUUAAUUCGAAGAUACGCGCAGAACCUUACCAACACUUGACAUGUUCGUCGCGACUCUAAGAGAUUAGAGUUUUCGGUUCGGCCGGACGAAACACAGGUGCUGCAUGGCUGUCGUCAGCUCGUGUCGUGAGAUGUUGGGUUAAGUCCCGCAACGAGCGCAACCCUCACUUUUAGUUGCCAUCAUUAAGUUGGGCACUCUGAAAGAACUGCCAGUGAUAAGCUGGAGGAAGGUGGGGAUGACGUCAAGUCCUCAUGGCCCUUACGUGUUGGGCUACACACGUGCUACAAUGGCAUCUACAACAGGAAGCAAAACGGCAACGUUAAGCAAAUCCCGAAAAGAUGCCUCAGUUCGGAUUGCACUCUGCAACUCGAGUGCAUGAAGCUGGAAUUACUAGUAAUCGUGGAUCAGCGUGCCACGGUGAAUGCGUUCCCGGGUCUUGUACACACCGCC
RNAcentral lists this ribosomal RNA (1320 nucleotides) under uncultured Alphaproteobacteria bacterium. RNAcentral's name for it is "bacterial SSU rRNA". It matches the Rfam family "Bacterial small subunit ribosomal RNA", at positions 27 to 1394 of the family's 1533-position model. The record is from RNAcentral. Lineage: Bacteria; Pseudomonadati; Pseudomonadota; Alphaproteobacteria.